RNAcentral lists this ribosomal RNA (253 nucleotides) under uncultured bacterium. RNAcentral's name for it is "partial 16S ribosomal RNA". It matches the Rfam family "Bacterial small subunit ribosomal RNA", at positions 524 to 776 of the family's 1533-position model. The record is from RNAcentral.
UACGGGGGGGGCAAGCGUUGUUCGGAAUUACUGGGCGUAAAGGGCUCGUAGGCGGCCAACUAAGUCAGACGUGAAAUCCCUCGGCUUAACCGGGGAACUGCGUCUGAUACUGGAUGGCUUGAGUUUGGGAGAGGGAUGCGGAAUUCCAGGUGUAGCGGUGAAAUGCGUAGAUAUCCGGAGGAACACCAGUGGCGAAGGCGACACGCUGGGCCGUACCUGACGCUAAAGCGCGACAGCAUGGGGAGCAAACGGG